Molecule: long non-coding RNA, 404 nt
Filed under: Numida meleagris (helmeted guineafowl)
Lineage: Eukaryota; Metazoa; Chordata; Aves; Galliformes; Numididae
Description: lncRNA (ENSNMEG00000023106.1)
Source: RNAcentral
GGCAAUCCACUGGAAUAGUGCUGAGACAAAUGGAAACUUGAAGAUAAGGAUCCUCGGAGGUGAAAACAUACAGCUGUUGGGAAUUGCGAAAGAAUCCGGCCAAUAAAGGAAGUCACUAUUUUUCCAGGCCUGAAGUGAGUUAUAGGCAGAGACGGGUGUUGUAUAUUUAUGUAAGGCUGCAGCAGGGAGCUCGAGCGACUGUAUAUUGCUGAAAGAGCAUCAUUCACAUUCAACCUGAGACAAAAGCAUCCAGGAAGCUUUGAACCACAACAGAACAAACAAAACUUGCUGUUCCCAGACAAAUGGCCAACUUGCUGUGCCCUGUGGAAUUUGGACCCAGUUUAAAACUCCACUGGCAAAGAAGAAACUAAACUGAAAAAGGUACAAUAGACAACUUUCUGUCU